CCUACGGGCGGCAGCAGUGGGGAAUAUUGCACAAUGGGGGAAACCCUGAUGCAGCGACGCCGCGUGAGUGAAUAAGUAAUUCGUUAUGUAAAGCUCUAUCAGCAGGGAAGAAAAUGACGGUACCUGAGUCAGAAGCCCCGGCUAACUACGUGCCAGCAGCCGCGGUAAUACGGAGGGGGCAAGCGUUAUCCGGAUUUACUGGGUGUAAAGGGAGCGUAGACGGCAGUGCAAGUCUGGCGUGAAAGGCGGGGGCUCAACCCCCGGACUGCUCUGGAAACUGUACGGCUGGAGUGCAGGAGAGGUAAGUGGAAUUCCUAGUGUAGCGGUGAAAUGCGUAGAUAUUAGGAGGAACACCAGUGGCGAAGGCGGCUUACUGGACUGUAACUGACGUUGAGGCUCGAAAGCGUGGGGAGCAAACAGGAUUAGAUACCCGAGUAGUC
Molecule: ribosomal RNA, 440 nt
Filed under: uncultured bacterium
Lineage: Bacteria
Description: partial 16S ribosomal RNA
Rfam family: Bacterial small subunit ribosomal RNA
Source: RNAcentral